Molecule: transfer RNA, 69 nt
Filed under: Marmota monax (woodchuck)
Lineage: Eukaryota; Metazoa; Chordata; Mammalia; Rodentia; Sciuridae
Source: Rfam by way of RNAcentral
GGGGUUGUGGCUCAGAGGUAGAGUGCUCGCCUACCAUGCGUGAGGCACCAGAUUCGAUCCUCAGCACCA